GCCCUCAUAGCUCAGGGGAUAGAGCGUCGGUUUCCUAAACCGUGCGUCGCAGGUUCGAAUCCUGCUGGGGGCG
This 73-nucleotide transfer RNA is filed under the name Microlunatus flavus. RNAcentral describes it as "Friedmanniella flava tRNA_Arg_CCT". It matches the Rfam family "tRNA". Rfam says of the family: Transfer RNA (tRNA) molecules are approximately 80 nucleotides in length. Lineage: Bacteria; Bacillati; Actinomycetota; Actinomycetes; Propionibacteriales; Propionibacteriaceae. The record is from RNAcentral.